RNAcentral lists this unclassified non-coding RNA (429 nucleotides) under Hevea brasiliensis (rubber tree). Lineage: Eukaryota; Viridiplantae; Streptophyta; Magnoliopsida; Malpighiales; Euphorbiaceae. The record is from RNAcentral.
AAAAAAAAGAAAAAAAAAAAGUUCUCUUACUGUUUGGAGAUAGAGAGUGAUAGUUUAGAAUGCGUAAAUUGAUGAAGAUUGUUGCUUCAUGCUAUUUGUUGCGUUUGGAAGUGAGAUUUAAAGCAUCUACUAACACCUGCUUUGCAACUGGCCAUGAAAAGAAACAAAAUUAAAGAAAUCUAAAAGGUUGGAUGAAACUGGCUAAAACACUUAAAAAUAGUGUGAAACUGUAGCUUUAAAACUUUAAAAGUGGAAAUAUGUUAUCAGUUUUCAAGAUUUUACUAGAAGCUACCUUUUUUGAAAUAUAUUGCAUUCCAUGAGCUUAAAUGUGUAAUUAAUUCUCUCUCUCUCUUGGCUUCAUGUUUACUUGCUCUGAUAUAUGGACGAGUUUGACCACACAUUUGGUACUAAAAUAUUAGGAAUUGAAAG